GGUCGUCCGCGCACAGCAUGCCGUCGCCGGCGUCGAUGAGCGCACGCCACGCGCGGCAGACGCAGCGGGACACGGCCAGGCUUCGUGGCGGCAGCCGGCGGAGGACGUCCGCGAGCACGUCGUCGGGCGAGUUUUAAGGACUUCCGAUUGGUCCAAUUGGCGCGAGUUUAGGGGGCGAACGCGGCAUGUAUACGGUGUGAGUCUCCCGUCGAGUUCGGAAUCGACUGGCAGAAAUCGGACUAGGAGCCAGUGUCGAUUUAAUUAAAUCAGAGUCGAUAAAACAUUCAGUCGACGUCUAUUACAGUAUAGUUGUAAGUGAUCCAGAAUCAAAUGCCUAUGUUCAUCUA
Long non-coding RNA from Sorghum bicolor (sorghum), 347 nucleotides. RefSeq lists it as uncharacterized. The record is from RefSeq and is a predicted model, not a curated record. NCBI's taxonomy places the organism in Eukaryota, Viridiplantae, Streptophyta, Magnoliopsida, Poales, Poaceae. The transcript has 2 exons.